RNAcentral lists this ribosomal RNA (891 nucleotides) under Triticum aestivum (bread wheat). RNAcentral describes it as "partial small subunit ribosomal RNA". Lineage: Eukaryota; Viridiplantae; Streptophyta; Magnoliopsida; Poales; Poaceae. The record is from RNAcentral.
AUGAUCAAGAAGAAUUUGAAGGAAUGGGAAGAGUGUUUGCCGCACGUGGAGUUUGCUUACAAUCGGGCAGUUCACUCUACCACAAACAUGUGCCCGUUUGAGGUGGUAUAUGGAUUCAAACCACUUGCACCAAUUGACUUGCUGCCACUUCCAUUGCAAGAGAGAUGUAACAUGGAGGCUUCAAAGCGUGCUGCAUAUGUGAAGAAGAUUCAUGAGAAGACCAGAGAAGAGAUAGAAAGGAAGUCCAAGUACUAUGCUACUAAGGCAAACAAAAAUCGCAAGAAGGUGACUUUUGAGCCCAGAGAUCUGGUUUGGAUACAUUUGCGCCAAGAUCGGUUCCCAGAGAAGCGCAAAUCCAAGCUAAUGCCUCGUGGAGAUGGACCAUUCAAAGUCUUGGCCAAGAUCAAUGACAAUGCUUACAAGAUCGAGCUUCCUGAAGACUAUGCUGUGAGUCCAACAUUCAACGUUGCUGAUUUGUCUGCAUGCUUCGAUCAAGAGGGUCAAGAGUCGAGGACGACUCCUUUUGAAGAGGGGGAGGAUGAUGAGGACAUCCCAGGUUCACCUCGUUCAUCAUCUUCUCCUGAUGAUAAAUCUCAGCCAUCAAGUGAAGCUUCUACAAAGAAGAUCUAUUUGGGUCCCAUGACAAGGAGCCGUGCCAAACAAAUAGCACAAGAGGUGAACGCGCUCCUAGCUUAUCAUAAUUUAAAUGACCAUGAGAACUUUAUACUGCCUAAAUCUCGUGUGCUGAUUUUACUUAGGUACAAUGUUGAGGACAACCAACAACAUUCAGCACAUGAAGAAACAAGUUUUGGAUCCCAUACAACAAGUUUGAAGAGAACAAGUUUCAACUCUGAUGAAAGCCUUGUUUUGGUGACAAGGAUGACUAGUUAG